CUACGUGCCAGCAGCCGCGGUAAUACGGAAGGUCCGGGCGUUAUCCGGAUUUAUUGGGUUUAAAGGGAGCGUAGGCCGGAGAUUAAGUGUGUUGUGAAAUGUAGACGCUCAACGUCUGACUUGCAGCGCAUACUGGUUUCCUUGAGUACGCACAACGUUGGCGGAAUUCGUCGUGUAGCGGUGAAAUGCUUAGAUAUGACGAAGAACUCCGAUUGCGAAGGCAGCUGACGGGAGCGCAACUGACGCUUAAGCUCGAAGGUGCGGGUAUCGAACAGGAUUAGAUACCCUGGUAGUCCGCACAGUAAACGAUGGAUGCCCGCUGUUGGUACCUGGUAUCAGCGGCUAAGCGAAAGCAUUAAGCAUCCCACCUGGGGAGUACGCCGGCAACGGUGAAACUCAAAGGAAUUGACGGGGGCCCGCACAAGCGGAGGAACAUGUGGUUU
RNAcentral lists this ribosomal RNA (443 nucleotides) under uncultured bacterium. Its description in RNAcentral is "bacterial SSU rRNA". It matches the Rfam family "Bacterial small subunit ribosomal RNA", at positions 501 to 947 of the family's 1533-position model. The record is from RNAcentral.